This 72-nucleotide transfer RNA is filed under the name Karstsinnectes anophthalmus. Its description in RNAcentral is "tRNA-Val". It matches the Rfam family "tRNA". Rfam says of the family: Transfer RNA (tRNA) molecules are approximately 80 nucleotides in length. The record is from RNAcentral. Lineage: Eukaryota; Metazoa; Chordata; Actinopteri; Cypriniformes; Nemacheilidae.
CAGGGCGUGGCUGAGAUAGUUAAGCAUCUCCCUUACACCGAGAAGACGUCCAUGCAAAUUGGAUCACCCUGA